UAGCGUAUGUUAAAGUUGUUGCGGCUAAAAAGCUCGUAGUUGGAUUUCUGUUGAAGACGCCCGGUCCGCUCUAUGAGCGUGCAUCUGGUGCGGCUUUGGCAUCCGUUCUGCAUACGUGUCUGCGCUUGAUUGCGUGGCGCGGAGGUAGGACCUUUUACUUUGAGGAAAUUAGAGUGUUCACGGCAGGCUUUCGCCUUGAAUAUAUUAGCAUGGAAUAAUAAUAUAGGAUCUUGGUUCUAUUUUGUUGGUUUCUAGGGCUGAGAUAAUGAUUAAUAGGGACAAUUGGGGGCAUUCGUAUUGCGGUGUC
RNAcentral lists this ribosomal RNA (307 nucleotides) under Amoebophrya sp. RNAcentral describes it as "SSU rRNA". It matches the Rfam family "Eukaryotic small subunit ribosomal RNA", at positions 595 to 906 of the family's 1831-position model. The record is from RNAcentral. Lineage: Eukaryota; Dinophyceae; Syndiniales; Amoebophryaceae.